AGCGAACGCUGGCGGCAUGCCUAACACAUGCAAGUCGCACGGGGGGGCUUCGGCCUCCCAGUGGCGGACGGGUGAGGAACGCGUAGGGACCUGUCGAGGGGUGGGGGAUAACCGCGGGACACUGCGGCUAAUACCGCAUGACGCCGCGGCGUGACAGCCGGGGCCAAAGGCGAAAGCCGCCCGCCGAGGGGCCUGCGUCCGAUUAGCUGGUUGGCGGGGUAGCGGCCCACCAAGGCGUCGAUCGGUAGCUGGUCUGAGAGGGUGAUCAGCCACACCGGGACUGAGACACGGCCCGGACUCCUACGGGAGGCAGCAGUGGGGAAUAUUGGACAAUGGGCGCAAGCCUGAUCCAGCAAUGCCGCGUGGGUGAAGAAGGUCUUCGGAUUGUAAAGCCCUUUCGGCGGGGACGAUGGUGACGGUACCCGCAGAAGAAGCCCCGGCUAACUUCGUG
Molecule: ribosomal RNA, 451 nt
Filed under: uncultured bacterium
Lineage: Bacteria
Description: partial 16S ribosomal RNA
Rfam family: Bacterial small subunit ribosomal RNA
Source: RNAcentral